UACGUAGGGUGCAAGCGUUAUCCGGAUUCACUGGGUUUAAAGGGUGCGUAGGCGGGUAUAUAAGUCAGUGGUGAAAGCUCCGAGCUUAACUUGGAAACUGCCAUUGAUACUGUAUAACUUGAAUGUCGUUGAGGUUAGCGGAAUGUUGCAUGUAGCGGUGAAAUGCUUAGAUAUGUUACAGAACACCAAUUGUGAAGACAGCUAACUAAGCGAUGAUUGACGCUGAGGCACGAAAGCGUGGGGAGCAAACAGG
Molecule: ribosomal RNA, 253 nt
Filed under: uncultured bacterium
Lineage: Bacteria
Description: partial 16S ribosomal RNA
Rfam family: Bacterial small subunit ribosomal RNA
Source: RNAcentral